This is a non-coding RNA of Drosophila virilis, 327 nucleotides long. NCBI's taxonomy places the organism in Eukaryota, Metazoa, Arthropoda, Insecta, Diptera, Drosophilidae. The record is from RefSeq and is a predicted model, not a curated record.
GGAGAGUCAACAUUAGUAGGCUAGCAUAGUACAAGCAACUAAAUCCCUUUAUUAUUUAUUGAGUAGAUAAAGUUACACUGAAUACCUGUCUUGAACAAAACUACAUAAGGAGAGAUCCUUGAAUUUUCGCAAGUAUCUUUAUAGAGAUACUUUGGAUUAGAUGCUUUGCUAACUAGGCCGAAUAAGAAUAAUAUUGGAUCAUAGGGAUCUACUUGAUACCCUAAAUGCAUUGAAAAUAUGCACAAAUUAUUUUGUGGCUCUGCACAAGCAGACAGAUGACCAAAAACACAAGUGCCAAAAACAACGCCAGUCCGAAUACGGAAUACA